GAUGAAGAACGUAGCGAAAUGCGAUACGUAAUGUGAAUUGCAGAAUUCAGUGAAUCAUCGAAUCUUUGAACGCAUAUUGCGCUCUCUGGUAUUCCGGAGAGCAUGCUUGUUUGAGUAUCAGUAAACACCUCAACUCCCUUUUCUUUUUUGAAAUUGGAGCUGGACUUGAGUGAUCCCAACGCUUUCUUCCAAGAAAGUGGCGGGUUGCUUGAAAUGCAGGUGCAGCUGAACUUUUCUCUGAGCUAUACGCAUAUCUAUUUAGUCUGCCUAAAAAACAGAUUAUUACCUUUGCUGCAGCUAACAUAAAGGAGACUAGUUCUUGUGCUGACUGAUGCAGGAUUCACAGAGACAGCUUCGGCUGACUUUGUAAACUCGAUCUCAAAUCAAGUAAGACUACCCGCUGAACUUAAGCAUAUCAAUAAGCGGAGGA
Molecule: unclassified non-coding RNA, 430 nt
Filed under: soil metagenome
Description: partial contains 5.8S ribosomal RNA, internal transcribed spacer 2, and large subunit ribosomal RNA
Rfam family: 5.8S ribosomal RNA (bases 1-120)
Source: RNAcentral